AACGAACGCUGGCGGCAUGCCUAACACAUGCAAGUCGAACGAGAUCUUCGGGUCUAGUGGCGCACGGGUGCGUAACGCGUGGGAAUCCGCCCUUUGGUUCGGAAUAACAGUUGGAAACGACUGCUAAUACCGGAUGAUGACGAAAGUCCAAAGAUUUAUCGCCAGAGGAUGAGCCCGCGUAGGAUUAGCUAGUUGGUGUGGUAAAGGCGCACCAAGGCGACGAUCCUUAGCUGGUCUGAGAGGAUGAUCAGCCACACUGGGACUGAGACACGGCCCAAACUCCUACGGGAGGCAGCAGUGGGGAAUAUUGGACAAUGGGCGAAAGCCUGAUCCAGCAAUGCCGCGUGAGUGAUGAAGGCCUUAGGGUUGUGAAGCUCUUUUACCCGGGAUGAUAAUGACAGUACCGGGAGAAUAAGCUCCGGCUAACUCCGUGCCAGCCGCCGCGGUAA
RNAcentral lists this ribosomal RNA (449 nucleotides) under uncultured bacterium. Its description in RNAcentral is "partial 16S ribosomal RNA". It matches the Rfam family "Bacterial small subunit ribosomal RNA", at positions 29 to 523 of the family's 1533-position model. The record is from RNAcentral.